GUGCUCGCUUCAGCAGCACUAUACAAAAAAAUUGGAAGGAUACAGAGAAGAUUAGCAUGGUCCCUGCACAAGGAUGACACUCAAACUUGUGAAGCGUCCCAUAAAAGU
This 108-nucleotide small nuclear RNA is filed under the name Castor canadensis (American beaver). The record is from RNAcentral. Lineage: Eukaryota; Metazoa; Chordata; Mammalia; Rodentia; Castoridae.